This 277-nucleotide ribosomal RNA is filed under the name Pneumocystis carinii f. sp. suis. RNAcentral describes it as "partial large subunit ribosomal RNA". Lineage: Eukaryota; Fungi; Ascomycota; Pneumocystomycetes; Pneumocystales; Pneumocystaceae. The record is from RNAcentral.
ACAUGCUGGUUUUCUGCGAGAUCUGUGUUACCGAUUAUUUAUUUUAUUAUUAGUAGGUAUAGCACUGAAUAUUUUUUUUUUCAAAAAAGGGAUGAUAAAUUUCCUUAUCUGGAAUAUUAAAUCCCAAAAGGGCUAAAACUUUAGGUAAACACCCGAACUUUUUCCAACAAGGGAUAAAGCCUAAAGGGAACCACCCCAAAACAGAAAAAAAAAAAGAAGGGCCCCCCAAUUAAUAUUAGGUGAAAAUCCCAAANUUUNUUCGGGAGCUGAAUCUCGG